RNAcentral lists this ribosomal RNA (446 nucleotides) under uncultured bacterium. Its description in RNAcentral is "SSU rRNA". It matches the Rfam family "Bacterial small subunit ribosomal RNA", at positions 26 to 518 of the family's 1533-position model. The record is from RNAcentral.
AGAGCGAACGCUGGCGGCAGGCCUAACACAUGCAAGUCGAGCGCCCGUAGCAAUACGGGAGCGGCAGACGGGAUAGUAACACGUGGGAACGCGCCCUUCGGUUCGGAAUAACUCAGGGAAACUUGAGCUAAUACCGGAUACGCCCUUACGGGGAAAGAUUUAUUGCCGAAGGAACGGCCCGCGUCCGAUUAGCUAGUUGGUGAGGUAAUGGCUCACCAAGGCGACGAUCGGUAGCUGGUCUGAGAGGAUGACCAGCAUCACUGGGACUGAGACACGGCCCAGACUCCUACGGGAGGCAGCAGUGGGGAAUAUGGACAAUGGGCGCAAGCCUGAUCCAGCCAUGCCGCGUGGAUGAUGAAGGCCUUAGGGUUGUAAAGUCCUUUUAACGGGAAGAUAAUGACGGUACCCGUAGAAUAAGCCCCGGCUAACUUCGUGCCAGCAGCCGC